This 472-nucleotide ribosomal RNA is filed under the name uncultured Syntrophus sp. RNAcentral's name for it is "bacterial SSU rRNA". It matches the Rfam family "Bacterial small subunit ribosomal RNA", at positions 910 to 1382 of the family's 1533-position model. The record is from RNAcentral. Lineage: Bacteria; Pseudomonadati; Thermodesulfobacteriota; Syntrophia; Syntrophales; Syntrophaceae.
UUGACGGGGCCCGCACAAGCGGUGGAGCAUGUGGUUUAAUUCGAUGCAACGCGAAGAACCUUACCUGGGCUUGACAUCCCGAGAAUCCCCUGGAAACAGGGGAGUGCCUUUCGGGGAACUCGGAGACAGGUGCUGCAUGGCUGUCGUCAGCUCAUGUCGUGAGAUGUUGGGUUAAGUCCCGCAACGAGCGCAACCCUUGUCUUUAAUUGCCAGCAUUCAGUUGGGCACUUUAAAGAGACUGCCGGUGUUAAACCGGAGGAAGGCGGGGAUGACGUCAAGUCCUCAUGGCCCUUACAUCCCGGGCUACACACGUGCUACAAUGGCAGGUACAGAGGACUGCGAAGCCGCGAGGUGGAGCGAAUCCCAGAAAACCUGUCUCAGUCCGGAUUGAAGUCUGCAACUCGACUUCAUGAAGGCGGAAUCGCUAGUAACCGCGAAUCAGCAGGUCGCGGUGAAUACGUUCCCGGGCCUU